AGAGUUUGAUCAUGGCUCAGAUUGAACGCUGGCGGCAGGCCUAACACAUGCAAGUCGAGCGGUAGCACAGAGAGCUUGCUCUCGGGUGACGAGCGGCGGACGGGUGAGUAAUGUCUGGGAAACUGCCUGAUGGAGGGGGAUAACUACUGGAAACGGUAGCUAAUACCGCAUAAUGUCGCAAGACCAAAGUGGGGGACCUUCGGGCCUCAUGCCAUCAGAUGUGCCCAGAUGGGAUUAGCUAGUAGGUGGGGUAAUGGCUCACCUAGGCGACGAUCCCUAGCUGGUCUGAGAGGAUGACCAGCCACACUGGAACUGAGACACGGUCCAGACUCCUACGGGAGGCAGCAGUGGGGAAUAUUGCACAAUGGGCGCAAGCCUGAUGCAGCCAUGCCGCGUGUGUGAAGAAGGCCUUCGGGUUGUAAAGCACUUUCAGCGGGGAGGAAGGCGUUAAGGUUAAUAACCUUGGCGAUUGACGUUACCCGCAGAAGAAGCACCGGCUAACUCCGUGCCAGCAGCCGCGGUAAUACGGAGGGUGCAAGCGUUAAUCGGAAUUACUGGGCGUAAAGCGCACGCAGGCGGUCUGUCAAGUCGGAUGUGAAAUCCCCGGGCUCAACCUGGGAACUGCAUUCGAAACUGGCAGGCUAGAGUCUUGUAGAGGGGGGUAGAAUUCCAGGUGUAGCGGUGAAAUGCGUAGAGAUCUGGAGGAAUACCGGUGGCGAAGGCGGCCCCCUGGACAAAGACUGACGCUCAGGUGCGAAAGCGUGGGGAGCAAACAGGAUUAGAUACCCUGGUAGUCCACGCCGUAAACGAUGUCGAUUUGGAGGUUGUGCCCUUGAGGCGUGGCUUCCGGAGCUAACGCGUUAAAUCGACCGCCUGGGGAGUACGGCCGCAAGGUUAAAACUCAAAUGAAUUGACGGGGGCCCGCACAAGCGGUGGAGCAUGUGGUUUAAUUCGAUGCAACGCGAAGAACCUUACCUGGUCUUGACAUCCACAGAACUUUCCAGAGAUGGAUUGGUGCCUUCGGGAACUGUGAGACAGGUGCUGCAUGGCUGUCGUCAGCUCGUGUUGUGAAAUGUUGGGUUAAGUCCCGCAACGAGCGCAACCCUUAUCCUUUGUUGCCAGCGGUCCGGCCGGGAACUCAAAGGAGACUGCCAGUGAUAAACUGGAGGAAGGUGGGGAUGACGUCAAGUCAUCAUGGCCCUUACGACCAGGGCUACACACGUGCUACAAUGGCAUAUACAAAGAGAAGCGACCUCGCGAGAGCAAGCGGACCUCAUAAAGUAUGUCGUAGUCCGGAUUGGAGUCUGCAACUCGACUCCAUGAAGUCGGAAUCGCUAGUAAUCGUAGAUCAGAAUGCUACGGUGAAUACGUUCCCGGGCCUUGUACACACCGCCCGUCACACCAUGGGAGUGGGUUGCAAAAGAAGUAGGUAGCUUAACCUUCGGGAGGGCGCUUACCACUUUGUGAUUCAUGACUGGGGUGAAGUCGUAACAAGGUAACCGUAGGGGAACCUGCGGUUGGAUCACCU
This 1528-nucleotide ribosomal RNA is filed under the name Klebsiella pneumoniae. Its description in RNAcentral is "bacterial SSU rRNA". It matches the Rfam family "Bacterial small subunit ribosomal RNA". RNAcentral also lists the same sequence under 1 other name. The record is from RNAcentral. Lineage: Bacteria; Pseudomonadati; Pseudomonadota; Gammaproteobacteria; Enterobacterales; Enterobacteriaceae.